AUGCCCUUCACUACGGAAUAGCCUCUGGAAACGGAGAGUAAUACCGUAUGCGCCCUUCGGGGAAAGAUUUAUCGGUGAAGGAUUAGCCCGCGUCUGAUUAGAUAGUUGGUGGGGUAACGGCCUACCAAGUCGACGAUCAGUAGCUGGUUUGAGAGGAUGAUCAGCAACACUGGGACUGAGACACGGCCCAGACUCCUACGGGAGGCAGCAGUGGGGAAUCUUAGACAAUGGGCGCAAGUGAUCUAGCCAUGCCGCGUGAGUGACGAAGGCCUUAGGGUCGUAAAGCUCUUUCGCCAGGGAUGAUAAUGACAGUACCUGGUAAAGAAACCCCGGCUAACUCCGUGCCAGCAGCCGCGGUAAUACGGAGGGGGUUAGCGUUGUUCGGAAUUACUGGGCGUAAAGCGCACGUAGGCGGAUCGGAAAGUUGGGGGUGAAAUCCCGGGGCUCAACCCCGAACUGCCUCCAAAACUAUCGGUCUAGAGUUCGAGAGAGGUGAGUGGAAUUCCGAGUGUAGAGGUGAAAUUCGUAGAUAUUCGGAGGAACACCAGUGGCGAAGGGGCUCACUGGCUCGAUACUGACGCUGAGGUGCGAAAGUGUGGGGAGCAAACAGGAUUAGAUACCCUGGUAGUCUACACCGUAAACGAUGAAUGCCAGUCGUCGGGUAGCAUGCUAUUCGGUGACACACCUAACGGAUUAAGCAUUCCGCCUGGGGAGUACGGUCGCAAGAUUAAAACUC
Molecule: ribosomal RNA, 736 nt
Filed under: uncultured bacterium
Lineage: Bacteria
Description: bacterial SSU rRNA
Rfam family: Bacterial small subunit ribosomal RNA
Source: RNAcentral